GACCAAGUGAAAUGCAUUAUAAUGGAGCUUUUCAGGAGCAGGCUGCUGACAGACUUUGCUUUGCUCCAGAACCAUUGGUAUCUUUGAAAAUCUGGUCCGUGCUGCUGCUGGCUUACUCCUGGAACAGAGAGCAGAGUUAUACCGAGGGCACAUCCACUGCAGUACCUCAGGUGGCGAGAGAUGGGCAUUUAUGUCCUGCAAACUGGUUCUAGAAACCGGCAUGUUUUCACCACCUUUCAGAUGGCAGAGAAAUGUAGCAAAGACUCGGAGAGCUGGUCCUUCUGUUGCUGCAAAUGAAAUAAAAUCAUUAAUUUGUUGAGUUGCA
Molecule: long non-coding RNA, 325 nt
Organism: Motacilla alba alba
Lineage: Eukaryota; Metazoa; Chordata; Aves; Passeriformes; Motacillidae
Exons: 2
Source: RefSeq, a predicted model, not a curated record